This 712-nucleotide long non-coding RNA is filed under the name Heterocephalus glaber (naked mole-rat). RNAcentral describes it as "lncRNA (ENSHGLG00100038578.1)". Lineage: Eukaryota; Metazoa; Chordata; Mammalia; Rodentia; Bathyergidae. The record is from RNAcentral.
CAAAAAUUAUAGGUGACUCGCUAACCAGAGAAGUGUAAACAGGAACUGAAUUGAAUACUCUUUCUUUCUUUUUUUUUUUUUUUGUACCAGGGAUCGAACUCGAGUCCUUGCGCUUUCGAGGCAGGCGCCGGAACCACUGAGCUGAAUCCCUGCUUCAGUGUUUGGUAGAGAAGUUGCCUGACUAAAAUGGUACUGUGGCCAGUGAAUACAGACUGUGGCCAGUGAAUACAUAUUGGCAGGUGCCUGUUGGAAGAGUGAAAACUACAAAGAGCCAAUAAAAUUCAAUGAAUGUGAGGGACACAACAUAUAACCCAGCAAUCAUAAGUGCAAAUAUCCAUGAAUGAAGUUGGGUGAUACAGAGGAAGGAGGAAAACUUCCCCAUGGAGAGAUCAGAGGAGACUUCACAGUGAAGCAAAAUUUGAGUUAGAUUUUGGAAAAACAGGACUUGGAUAUGUGAUUAUGGAGAAGAAUGUUUUCAAACCCAAGGAGGUGCCUGUUGGGUUUUGCAGUCUGUUUUCUGUGAGAGCAGAAGUAGGUCGAGGUGUAUGUUGGGAAGACCUUGUAUUGCUGGCCCAGAAGAUGAGGUGGGGCAGACAGGAGGAAGAGGAGGACAUCGAGGUCAGCAAAGACAGACUUUUCUGGCCUUUUAGUUUUGCUGAGUGCUAUAAUUGCUUCUCUCAUCUCAGAACAUGAUGCAUCUCAUUGUCACAGG